CCAGCAAAGGUAGUAAGAAAGAAAAAAAAAAAAAAACAUACUAUUGUGUUUUAUUUUUAAAAGAGCAUCAAAGUAAAAAAAUGGCAUCAGCUAAGAUUGAGAAACCUCCUGGCAAGGAGCCUGCAGCUAAAGCUCCUACUAGCACGCCGAAAACUCCGGCCUCCAAAAACCCCCCUAAGAAGAGCGGGGCCAGUACUCGGGAGCCUAAGAAGAAGACAUCCGGCACCGGAAGCAAGUCAGCAGCCAAGAAUUAAGUAGGAUGAGGAGGAGUCCAUGCAUUGGUGUCACCUUUGGAGCUCCAUGAAGAUGUUAAAAUUGGAGUGGUCCUCCAUGGUGUUUUAUCAAUUUUAAUAGCUCUUGGUUGUACUUUAUAACCAUAUGCAUGUCUCUCUUUUUAUGCUUGGCCUAUUAAAUAAAACAUACAUAUUCUAAAAUCA
This is a long non-coding RNA of Morus notabilis, 437 nucleotides long. RefSeq lists it as uncharacterized. The transcript has 2 exons. Lineage: Eukaryota; Viridiplantae; Streptophyta; Magnoliopsida; Rosales; Moraceae. The record is from RefSeq and is a predicted model, not a curated record.